AACGAACGCUGGCGGCAGGCCUAACACAUGCAAGUCGAGCGAGGACUUCGGUUCUAGCGGCGGACGGGUGAGUAACGCGUGGGAAUGUGCCCUUCUCUACGGAAUAGCCCUGGGAAACUGGGAGUAAUACCGUAUACGCCCUUUUGGGGAAAGAUUUAUCGGAGAAGGAUCAGCCCGCGUUGGGUUAGGUAGUUGGUGGGGUAAUGGCCUACCAAGCCGACGAUCCAUAGCUGGUUUGAGAGGAUGAUCAGCCACACUGGGACUGAGACACGGCCCAGACUCCUACGGGAGGCAGCAGUAGGGAAUCUUAGACAAUGGGGGCAACCCUGAUCGAGCCAUGCCGCGUGAGUGAUGAAGGCCUUAGGGUUGUAAAGCUCUUUCAGCUGGGAAGAUAAUGACGGUACCAGCAGAAGAAGCCCCGGCUAACUCCGUG
Molecule: ribosomal RNA, 433 nt
Filed under: uncultured bacterium
Lineage: Bacteria
Description: partial 16S ribosomal RNA
Rfam family: Bacterial small subunit ribosomal RNA
Source: RNAcentral